Molecule: ribosomal RNA, 500 nt
Filed under: uncultured bacterium
Lineage: Bacteria
Description: partial 16S ribosomal RNA
Rfam family: Bacterial small subunit ribosomal RNA
Source: RNAcentral
AUUGAACGCUGGCGGCAUGCCUUACACAUGCAAGUCGAACGGCAGCACGGGAGCAAUCCUGGUGGCGAGUGGCGAACGGGUGAGUAAAGUAUCGGAACGUGCCCAGUCGUGGGGGAUAACGUAGCGAAAGUUACGCUAAUACCGCAUACGAUCUAUGGAUGAAAGCGGGGGAUCGCAAGACCUCGCGCGAUUGGAGCGGCCGAUAUCAGAUUAGGUAGUUGGUGGGGUAAAGGCUCACCAAGCCGACGAGCUGUAUCUGGUCUGAGAGGACGACCAGCAACACUGGGACUGAGACACGGCCCAGACUCCUACGGGAGGCAGCAGUGGGGAAUUUUGGACAAUGGGCGCAAGCCUGAUCCAGCCAUGCCGCGUGCAGGAUGAAGGCCUUCGGGUUGUAAACUGCUUUUGUACGGAACGAAAAGGUUUGACUUAAUACGUUGGACUCAUGACGGUACCGUAAGAAUAAGCACCGGCUAACUACGUGCCAGCCGCCGCAGUAA